GUAAAUAGGGGCCAGCGUCGGGUGUAAUACGUAUGUGGCGAGCGUUAUCCGGAAUUAUUGGGCAUAAAUGGCAUCUGGUCGGCUGAUUAAGGCUGAGGUGAAAACUUUCGGCUCAACCGAGAGCCGGCCUUGGAAACUAAUGCAGCUGGAGUACUGGAGAGGUGGACGGAACUACACGAGUAGAGGUGAAAUUCGUAGAUAUGUGUAGGAAUGCCGAUGAUGAAGAUAGUCCACUGGACAGCUACUGACGCUGAAGUGCGAAAGCUAGGGGAGCGAACAGGAUUAGAUACCCUUGUAGUC
Molecule: ribosomal RNA, 300 nt
Filed under: uncultured Methanosarcina sp.
Lineage: Archaea; Methanobacteriati; Methanobacteriota; Methanomicrobia; Methanosarcinales; Methanosarcinaceae
Description: bacterial SSU rRNA
Rfam family: Bacterial small subunit ribosomal RNA
Source: RNAcentral